GGAAGGAUCAUUAACACUAAUCCAUUUCAAUUAAACCUAGCCUAUUAGUUGCAGUAUGAGGAAAGCAAUGCAUUUAUGCAGAGUGGACCAAGUACUGCAGCACUCUUCAAAUCUAAUCACACAAAAGGGAAAUAACUAAGUCAUCCCUAAAAACCAAAUUCUCAACGAUGGAUAUCUUGGUUCCCAUAACGAUGAAGAACGCAGCGAAGUGCGAUAAGCAAUGCGAAUUGCAGAACCGUGAGUCAUCAGAUUUUUGAACGCAACUGGCGCCGACUGGCUCUCCAGUCGGCAUGCUUGUUUCAGUGUCUCUUUUUCUCAUCACCUAAAUCCUAAUGUGGGAGAUACCCUUCUCCUAUCAAGCACGAAGGCACUCUGUGCUCUGCUAGCUGAUUCGGCUCGUCCGAGUGCAGCACUCAAUGCAGCAGUCACAUUGCUCACAAUGUGAACUCAUUGAGAGUAGAGGCAGCUGCAGCUUCAUCGCUGCCAGUGCCUAGACACACUAACCUUUCUAAGACCUGAAAUCAAGCAGGAUCACCCGCUGAACUUAAGCAUAUCACUAAGCGGAGGAGAAGAAAUUAACUAAGAUUGCCUCAGUAACGGCGAGUGAAGCGGCAAGAGCCCAAAAUGGAAAUCUUGUACACAUCGUGUGCACGAAUUGUAAUCUAUAGGGGAUCCGCUCAACGGGUGGUGGCGCAGAAGUGCUCUCGAACGGGCCGCCAGAGAGGGUGACAGCCCCGUAUGUGGUGCCACCGCCUAACGAGCGCUUUUCCGAAGAGUCGGGUUGUUUUGUAUUGCAGCCCUAAGUGGGAGAUAAACUUCUUCUAAGGCUAAAUAUAUAUGGGAAACCGAUAGCGAACAAGUACUGUGAAGGAAAGAUGAAAAGAACUUUGAAAAGAGAGUCAAAAGACUUGAAAUCGUUGAGAAGGAAGCGGUAGAAAUUUAUCGUUCGCGGUUGGUCGGUGAGGGUCGCCUAACCAUUGCUGGUGUGUGGCACUUCAAAGGCUGCUGCCGGUACCUGGGGAAGCGUCCCCUUGACCUUCCGCGAUAGGCAAAAUGGGGUCGUGCAUCCGCAUAAGCUUCCCAUGCCUGGCCUGAUUCGUCGGGCAGCAUGGGUGUGCUGGCGGAGGUACGGCCUGAGGUAGCUUCGUGCGAUUUUGCCAAAAUGGUUUUUACCGACCCGUCUUGAAACACGGACCAAGGAGUCUAACAUAUAUGCGAGUGUGCUGGUGGAGAAACCAACACGCGUAAUGAAAGUGAGUGAUGCCAAGCGCAAGCAGCAGCAUCAACCGACCAUGAUCCUCUGGUGAAAGGUUUGAGUAAGAGCAUAUCUGUUAGGACCCGAAAGAUGGUGAACUAUGCCUGAGUAGGGUGAAGCCAGGGGAAACUCUGGUGGAGGCUCGUAGCGGUACUGACGUGCAAAUCGUUCGUCAAACUUGGGUAUAGGGGCGAAAGACUAAUCGAACCAUCUAGUAGCUGGUUCCCUC
Molecule: unclassified non-coding RNA, 1484 nt
Filed under: uncultured Sporadotrichida
Lineage: Eukaryota; Ciliophora; Spirotrichea; Sporadotrichida
Description: sequence contains 18S rRNA gene, ITS1, 5.8S rRNA gene, ITS2, 28S rRNA gene
Rfam family: Eukaryotic large subunit ribosomal RNA (bases 512-1484)
Source: RNAcentral